AAAAAAACGCCCUAGUGCAGCAAAAAUAAAAAUUGCACAAACAGCGUAUCAUUACAAAUUCGUACUAUUUCAAACCGACAGAUACAGAAUCUCCGGCAUGUAUACGCCGUAAGAAUAGACGGAAAACGAGAAGGCUACGACGGUCAGAUACCUAUGCCGACAGCAGACGGCGGAGAUAGAGUAUGAGGAUAGUACGAUGAUGACGGUGUCAAAACUAUGCCACCACUGCUCUGAGCCUUUUCACUUUCUGUCUUCUUCUGGAAAGACUAAGGGCUGAAACAGAACAAAUAGGUUUUCCUUUUAAAGUAAGUUUAAAAUCACAUUGGAUAACUAAUUAGGAGUAUUAAUUUAUUUGAUUUUGGAAUUUAUAGAACAAUAUUUUUACUUAUAUAAAAUUUAAUAUAAACAUAUAGGGGUCGCUUGGUUACCGGACAGGGAGAAUAUAAAACUAUGCAUAUAAUUUAUGUUACAUUGUUUGGUGAAUCCGACAUAGUUUUGGUUACCGGACAGGGAGAAUAUAAAACUAUGCGUAUAAAAAAUUCUAUGAAAUAAUGAGAAAUUUUUUAUUUUAUUUUAUGUGGGAUAGAAUAUGAAAUAAAAAUGUGGAUAUGAAAUAAUACGUGAAUUAAACUAACAAAUAACAAAAAUAUCCCUUUAUGCUAGUUCUACAACUAGAUUCUUUUUCUAUUGUUUUUUAUUUUCUACUACUACUACUAGCUAUUUGCUUGUUUGCUUAAUGUUUUUUUCUUUUGUAAACCAAUAAUUUUUAACUAAAAAACAUAUUAUAUAAUGUGGGACUAAUUUUAAUAUAAUAAACCAAGCAUUCAAAAAGAACUAACUCAUAUAUAACUAAUAUCUCAUAAAUUCAAUCCUUGCAUAAUUAAUACACGCAUACUUGCAUCACUUAAUCCCUACAUAAUUAAUAUUUGCAUAACUUAAUCCUUACAUAACUUAUCUUUGGAAUAAACGAUCCCAUAAAGUAUUAAGUACUAAUGUUGCAUUUUUACAUUCUUGUCAGGUGAGGGUGCCCCUUGGUAAGAUUAAUAAGGAAAGAUUGUUGCUCUUUCUUAUUUUUAUUUUUACUAUUUCGAUUCGAGGUUUUAUUAUGUAAGCCAGUAUACAUAUAUUCAUG
This 1132-nucleotide long non-coding RNA is filed under the name Nicotiana benthamiana. RNAcentral's name for it is "long non-coding RNA (NBEN_LNC026300)". The record is from RNAcentral. Lineage: Eukaryota; Viridiplantae; Streptophyta; Magnoliopsida; Solanales; Solanaceae.